GACGUAGGGGGCAAGCGUUGUCCGGAUUCACUGGGCGUAAAGGGCGCGUAGGCGGUUACGUAAGUCCGGCGUGAAAUCUCACAGCUCAACUGUGGAACUGCGUCGGAUACUGCGUUGACUGGAGGGCGGUAGAGGUCUGUGGAACUAGCGGUGUAGCGGUGAAAUGCGCAGAUAUCGCUAGGAACGCCGGUGGCGAAGGCGACAGACUGGGCCGUUCCUGACGCUGAGGCGCGAAAGCUAGGGGAGCGAACCGG
Molecule: ribosomal RNA, 254 nt
Filed under: uncultured bacterium
Lineage: Bacteria
Description: partial 16S ribosomal RNA
Rfam family: Bacterial small subunit ribosomal RNA
Source: RNAcentral